GGGAGCGACUUGGCUUCGACAGGAGUAAGUCUGCUUAGAUGGCAUGUCGCUUUGGGCAAAGCGUAAAAAGCCCAAAUAAAAUUAAACGCAAACAACGUUAAAUUCGCUCCUGCUUACGCUAAAGCUGCGUAAGUUCAGUUGAGCCUGAAAUUUAAGUCAUACUAUCUAGCUUAAUUUUCGGUCAUUUUUGAUAGUGUAGCCUUGCGUUUGACAAGCGUUGAGGUGAAAUAAAGUCUUAGCCUUGCUUUUGAGUUUUGGAAGAUGAGCGAAGUAGGGUGAAGUAGUCAUCUUUGUUAAGCAUGUAGAGGUCUUUGUGGAAUUAUUUUUGGACAGGGGUUCGAUUCCCCUCGCUUCCACCA
This 359-nucleotide transfer-messenger RNA is filed under the name Campylobacter jejuni. It matches the Rfam family "transfer-messenger RNA". From Rfam's summary of the family: Bacterial tmRNA, also known as 10Sa RNA or SsrA, is named for its dual tRNA and mRNA-like properties. Its role is to liberate the mRNA from a stalled ribosome. The record is from RNAcentral. RNAcentral also lists the same sequence under 1 other name. Lineage: Bacteria; Pseudomonadati; Campylobacterota; Epsilonproteobacteria; Campylobacterales; Campylobacteraceae.